RNAcentral lists this ribosomal RNA (424 nucleotides) under uncultured bacterium. Its description in RNAcentral is "bacterial SSU rRNA". It matches the Rfam family "Bacterial small subunit ribosomal RNA", at positions 355 to 771 of the family's 1533-position model. The record is from RNAcentral.
GGGGAAAUAUUGGACAAUGGGGGCAACCCUGAUCCAGCCAUGCCGCGUGUGUGAAGAAGGUCUUCGGAUUGUAAAGCACUUUAAGUUGGGAGGAAGGGUAUUCACCUAAUACGUGAGUAUUUUGACGUUACCGACAGAAUAAGCACCGGCUAACUUCGUGCCAGCAGCCGCGGUAAUACGAAGGGUGCAAGCGUUAAUCGGAAUUACUGGGCGUAAAGCGCGCGUAGGUGGUUCGUUAAGUUGGAUGUGAAAGCCCCGGGCUCAACCUGGGAACUGCAUCCAAAACUGGCGAGCUAGAGUACGGUAGAGGGUGGUGGAAUUUCCUGUGUAGCGGUGAAAUGCGUAGAUAUAGGAAGGAACACCAGUGGCGAAGGCGACCACCUGGACUGAUACUGACACUGAGGUGCGAAAGCGUGGGGAGCAA